Hibiscus syriacus is the source of this 587-nucleotide long non-coding RNA. RefSeq lists it as uncharacterized. The transcript has 5 exons. Lineage: Eukaryota; Viridiplantae; Streptophyta; Magnoliopsida; Malvales; Malvaceae. The record is from RefSeq and is a predicted model, not a curated record.
UACAGCUUGGGCAGGCUCUGAGCACUAGACCAGAUAUAUUGCACCUGUUUAUUGCCAAGAACUUGCUAAGUUACAGGAUCAGAUUCCCCCAUUUCCCACCCAUGUCGCAAUAAAAUCUAUUGAAAAUGAACUGGGUACCCCAAUUUCAGAAAUAUUUGCUGAUAUAAGCCCUGAACCUAUUGCAGCUGCAUCUAUAGGACAGGUGUAUAAAGCUCACCUUCUUUCUGGAGAACUUGUAGCUGUUAAAGUACAGAGGCCUGGUAUGUCACUCUUGUUGACCCUUGAUGCAUUGUUAUUCCAUAUGAUCGGUGGUCAAUUAAAGCGAUUUGCAAAAGCCCGGAAAGAUUUGUUAGUUGCUGUAAAUGAAGUGGUCUCUCUUAAAUGAACAGGUAAGACACAUGUUUGAUGAAAUCGAUUACAUCUUGGAGGCAAGAAAUGCUGAACGCUUUGCCUCUCUUUAUGGUGACUGUCCUAGCCAUGGUCAAAUUUUUGAUCAAAAAUGAUAAAGAUGGGACUGCCAACAAAACCAAAAUUGCGAAGGGAAUAAAAAUGUCUAAAAUAUAUUGGGACCUGACACGAAAAGCUGU